Non-coding RNA from Schistosoma mattheei, 116 nucleotides. The record is from Rfam. Lineage: Eukaryota; Metazoa; Platyhelminthes; Trematoda; Strigeidida; Schistosomatidae.
AGUGAUGGGUUGCCUCAUUUGUGGAUAAUUCUUUCGCCUUUUACUAAAGAUUUCCGUGUGGAGGCACAAUACGUCGAGGUUUAUCUCAUUUUUUCCAACUCCAUCUUCUCACAACU